This 957-nucleotide ribosomal RNA is filed under the name uncultured bacterium. RNAcentral describes it as "bacterial SSU rRNA". It matches the Rfam family "Bacterial small subunit ribosomal RNA", at positions 8 to 956 of the family's 1533-position model. The record is from RNAcentral.
AGAGUUUGAUCCUGGCUCAGGAUGAACGCUAGCGGGAGGCUUAAUACAUGCAAGUCGAGCGGCAAGGUCUUCGGACCCUAGAGCGGCGCACGGGUGAGUAACGCGUACGCAAUCUGCCCUUCAGUGAGGAAUAGCCCGGGGAAACUGGGAUUAAUACCUCAUAAUAUUAUUUGUCUGCAUGGAUGAAUAAUUAAAGUUCUGGCGCUGAAGGAUGACCCUACGUCGGAUUAGCUAGUUGGUAGGGUAAAAGCCUACCAAGGCGAUGAUCCGUAGCUGGUCUGAGAGGAUGAUCACCCACACUGGAACUGAGACACGGUCCACACUCCUACGGGAGGCAGCAGUGGGGAAUAUUGGACAAUGGGGGAAACCCUGAUCCAGCAAUGCCGCGUGUGUGAAGAAGGCCUGCGGGUUGUAAAGCACUUUGAGCGGGGAAGAAAAGACGCAAGUCGAAUAGGCUUGCGAGUUGACGUUACCCGCAGAACAAGCACCGGCUAACUCUGUGCCAGCAGCCGCGGUAAUACAGAGGGUGCAAGCGUUAAUCGGAAUUACUGGGCGUAAAGGGUGCGGAAGGGGGGUUUGUUUAAGUUUAAAAAGGGGAAAGCCGCCGGGCUUACGCUGAGAACUGCAUUUAAUACUGGAUAACUAGAGUAGAGUAGAAGGAGGGCGGAAUUUCCGGGGGGUAGCCGGUUGAAUUGCGUAAAAAUAUCAGAAAAAACACCGGUGGGCGGAGGGCCGGUCCUUUCUGGGCUCAUACUGACACUGAGCACGAAAGCGGUGGAGGAGCAAACAUGAUUAGAUACGCUUGUAGUCACGCAGUAACGAUGACACUAGAUGUGUUGUGGAGAGGUUCACCUUUCAAUACCGCAGCUACGCGUCAAGUCUCCGGCUGAGGAGUACGCAGUAGUCAACUCGAUGUAUAGACGGCUCGCCAGCGAUGCAGCAUGUGUUAGUUCGAUC